Molecule: long non-coding RNA, 884 nt
Filed under: Pan troglodytes (chimpanzee)
Lineage: Eukaryota; Metazoa; Chordata; Mammalia; Primates; Hominidae
Description: lincRNA
Source: RNAcentral
AGUAAGAGUGGGUGCAGGCAGGGCCUGAGUGGUCACUAGAAAUGAGAAAGCACAGUUGGUGCCAUCACAUACCUUCACCUCCUGCUUUAUUCUGAAGUUCAAGUAUGAGAAUACGUGUUGACAUACAAGCCAGCUAUGGUGCAGUCAGCCUCAGUUUCCAAAGCCAGAAAAGGAUCCUCUAGAAGCCACGGUGUGGCAGCUGCUCUGAACCAGGACCUGGACCCGGACCCAAAGUGCCAUGUCUUCAAUGUUAGCUCCCAGCGAUGCCAGAUGGGAUCAGCACAGCCCUGCCUCUGCUGCUAAUUGUUCCUCUAAAGUAAUCGCCAUGCGUUCUUCGGGCUUCACCUUUAAAGGAAUGAAGCAACUGAGAUUAUUCUGGAAAACCUUUUGGCGAUUGGUGAAAUUAGAGUACAACUAAGAACAUUUUCAGACCUCCACUGUGGAUGACCUGGGUAUAAUCUCACAAAUCGAUGGGACUGCAAGGAUUGUAAACUGAAAUGAACAUGAUUAUACUCUGUUGGAAGAGCCUAAGAGGAAACUGAUGCCAUGAGUUUCAGAGAGUAAUGCUUAACCCCAGUUACACAGGAUGCCGUCUUGUGUUUCCUCUUGUUUAGUUACCCACUACAGUGAUUUUGUGAUCUGCUAAUGGGUUGCCACCCACAACCAUUGCUUUAGCACUUUUCCUUCAAAUCAAUGAAGGAUUGAUAAAAGUUCUCCUGGUGUCUCCGCAGAGUGGCUUCCAGGAACAGAUCUUUGCAUAGAAUAUCAGUGGUUUCCUUUUUUGUUUCAAAUAGUGGUCAGAAAAUACCCAGUGUUGACUCACCAAGGCAAUCAGCUUCCUUUUUCCCUUUUUUUUUUUUUUUUUUUAAAUUUUAUAUUUUUGC